UAGAGUUUGAUCCUGGCUCAGGACGAACGCUGGCGGCGUGCCUAACACAUGCAAGUCGAGCGGAGUAUAUUUAAGUGAAGUUUUCGGAUGGAACUUAAAUAUACUUAGCGGCGGACGGGUGAGUAACGCGUGAGCAACCUGCCUUUCACAAAGGGAUAGCCUCGGGAAACUGGGAUUAAUACCAUAUGAUACUUAACUUUCGCAUGAAAGAUAAGUUAAAGCGUAUAAGCGGUGAAAGAUGGGCUCGCGUCCUAUUAGCUAGUUGGUGAGGUAACGGCUCACCAAGGCGACGAUAGGUAGCCGGCCUGAGAGGGUGAACGGCCACACUGGAACUGAGACACGGUCCAGACUCCUACGGGAGGCAGCAGUGGGGGAUAUUGCACAAUGGAGGAAACUCUGAUGCAGCGACGCCGCGUGAGUGAAGAAGGCCUUCGGGUCGUAAAGCUCUGUCCUAGGGGAAGAUAAUGACGGUACCCUAGGAGGAAGCCCCGGCUAACUACGUGCCAGCCGCCGCGGUAAUACA
This 523-nucleotide ribosomal RNA is filed under the name Clostridiaceae bacterium 4bM. RNAcentral's name for it is "bacterial SSU rRNA". It matches the Rfam family "Bacterial small subunit ribosomal RNA", at positions 1 to 527 of the family's 1533-position model. Lineage: Bacteria; Bacillati; Bacillota; Clostridia; Eubacteriales; Clostridiaceae. The record is from RNAcentral.